GCGUCAGUCGCAUAGUGGCAAUUGCACGAGACUGUAAAUCUCGCGGCCUUUUGGCCUACGGGGGUUCGAGUCCCUCCUGGCGCACAA
This 87-nucleotide transfer RNA is filed under the name Candidatus Zambryskibacteria bacterium CG10_big_fil_rev_8_21_14_0_10_42_12. RNAcentral describes it as "tRNA-Tyr". It matches the Rfam family "tRNA". From Rfam's summary of the family: Transfer RNA (tRNA) molecules are approximately 80 nucleotides in length. Their secondary structure includes four short double-helical elements and three loops (D, anti-codon, and T loops). The record is from RNAcentral. Lineage: Bacteria; Candidatus Zambryskiibacteriota.